Molecule: unclassified non-coding RNA, 2561 nt
Filed under: Hevea brasiliensis (rubber tree)
Lineage: Eukaryota; Viridiplantae; Streptophyta; Magnoliopsida; Malpighiales; Euphorbiaceae
Source: RNAcentral
GACUCUUUGGCAACAUUAAAUUAUCCUGCAUGGGGUUAUGGAUUAAGAUACAGGUAUGGCUUAUUUAAACAGCGAAUUACAAAAGAUGGUCAAGAGGAGGUUGCUGAAGAUUGGCUUGAGAUGGGUAAUCCCUGGGAAAUUGUGAGAAAUGAUGUUGCAUAUCCUGUAAAAUUUUACGGCAAGGUUGUUAGUGGAUCAGAUGGGAAAAAACACUGGAUCGGAGGAGAAGAUAUAAAGGCUGUGGCAUAUGAUGUCCCAAUACCAGGAUAUAAAACUAAAAGCACUAUUAACCUUCGACUUUGGUCAACUAAAGCUCCAGCCGAAGAUUUGGACUUGUAUGCUUUCAAUGCUGGGGAGCACACUAAAGCAUAUGAGGCCCUUGCAAAUGCUGAAAAGAUUUGCUAUAUUCUCUAUCCUGGGGAUGAUUCAGCGGAGGGCAAGAUCCUACGGUUGAAACAACAAUAUACCUUAUGUUCAGCUUCUCUCCAAGAUAUCAUUGCACGGUUCGAGAGAAGAUCUGGAUCAAACAUAAAGUGGGAAGAAUUUCCUGAGAAAGUUGCAGUGCAGAUGAAUGACACUCAUCCCACUCUCUGCAUUCCAGAGCUGAUGAGAAAUUUGAUAGACUUGAAAGGCUUAAGCUGGAAGGAGGCCUGGAAUAUUACCCAAAGAACUGUGGCAUAUACGAACCAUACUGUUCUACCUGAAGCAUUGGAGAAAUGGAGUUUAGAGCUUAUGGAGAAGCUGUUACCACGACAUGUUGAGAUCAUAGAAAUGAUUGAUGAAGAGCUGAUAAAAACCAUUGUUUCUGAGUAUGGAAGAGAAGAUCCCGACCUUUUGGAGAAAAAACUGAAGGAAAUGAGAAUAUUAGAAAAUGUAGAUUUGCCUUCCACCUUUGCGGAUUUAAUUGUUAAACCCAAGGAAAGCUCUGUUGCAGCUAUGAGUGAAGAAACUGAAAAAUCUGAUGAUGAAAGCAAGCUGAUUAGUGAAAAAGAUGAAAUUGAUAGUGAAGAUGAGCCAGAAAGCAAAGGUGAACCCAAUGGCAAAGGCACUCAGAAGAAGGAAAAGGUGGUGGCAGAACCGCCACCAAAACCACCAAAGCUGGUCCGUAUGGCUAAUCUCUGUGUUGUAGGUGGUCAUGCAGUAAAUGGAGUUGCUGAGAUACAUAGUGAAAUAGUGAAGGAUGAAGUGUUUAAUGCAUUUUAUGAGUUGUGGCCUAAUAAGUUUCAAAAUAAAACCAAUGGGGUUACUCCAAGAAGAUGGAUCCGUUUCUGCAAUCCGGAUUUGAGUAAAAUUAUUACUGACUGGACUGGAUCUGAAGAAUGGGUUUUAAAGACUGAAAAGCUGGCUGAACUAAGAAAGUUUGCAGAUAAUGAGGAUCUUCAAACCCAAUGGAGGGCAGCGAAGAAAAGCAAUAAGAUGAAGGUUGUGUCAUUCCUCAAAGAAAAAACAGGGUAUUCUGUCAGCCCCGAUGCAAUGUUUGAUAUCCAGGUGAAGCGUAUUCAUGAAUACAAGCGACAGCUGCUGAAUAUUCUUGGAAUUGUGUACCGCUACAAGAAGAUGAAAGAAAUGAGUGCUGCAGAAAGGAAAGCUAAGUAUGUUCCUAGAGUUUGUAUAUUUGGUGGAAAAGCAUUCGCUACAUAUGUGCAAGCCAAAAGGAUUGUGAAAUUUAUCACGGAUGUGGGGGCUACAGUUAAUCAUGAUGCUGAAAUAGGUGAUUUACUUAAGGUUGUUUUUGUCCCGGAUUACAACGUCAGUGUUGCUGAAUUGCUUAUUCCUGCAAGUGAGCUUUCACAGCAUAUCAGCACUGCUGGGAUGGAAGCCAGUGGAACGAGCAACAUGAAGUUUGCUAUGAAUGGUUGCAUCCUAAUAGGGACCAUGUUGAAAUACGGCAGGAGGUUGGAGAAGACAAUUUUUUCCUCUUCGGUGCUGAAGCUCAUGAGAUUGCAGGGCUGAGGAAAGAAAGAGCUAAUGGGAAGUUUGUUCCGGACCCACGAUUCGAAGAAGUGAAAGAAUUUGUCAGAAGUGGUGUUUUUGGCUCUUACAACUAUGAUGAACUGAUGGGAUCACUAGAGGGAAAUGAAGGUUUUGGUCGUGCUGAUUAUUUCCUCGUUGGCAAGGACUUCCCCAGCUAUAUAGAAUGCCAAGAGAAAGUCGAUGAGGCAUAUCAGGACCAAAGUAGAUGGACCAAGAUGUCAAUCAUGAAUACAGCAGGUUCAUACAAGUUCAGCAGCGACAGGACGAUCCAUGAAUAUGCCAAGGAUAUUUGGAGUAUUGAACCUGUCAUAUUGCCAUAGUCGCCAUCACUUGAGUUGCUGUGUUGGUGGCGCCACAAGCUCAAGACUCUGAGCUUUCCGCAUCCGACUGUAAACGUUGAUUUGCCAUCCGGAAAUAAAUGUGGCUUUAAUAUUAGCAAUGAAAAAAAUAAGAGAGCUUGUAUGUGAAGUUCGACCGCUGCAAAAACAAAUAAAAGAAUGAAGUUCAAAAUAUCAUUCCUCCAUUUUGUGUAAUAGCUCAACUGCCUCUUCUAUCCCCUUGAUCAAACCAUUAUACACUUGUCGCCU